Molecule: ribosomal RNA, 466 nt
Filed under: uncultured bacterium
Lineage: Bacteria
Description: bacterial SSU rRNA
Rfam family: Bacterial small subunit ribosomal RNA
Source: RNAcentral
GACGAACGCUGGCGGCGUGCUUAACACAUGCAAGUCGAACGCACCUUCGGGUGAGUGGCGGACGGGUGAGUAACGCGUAGGUAAUCUACUCUUCAGUGGGGGAUACCCAGCCGAAAGGUUGGUUAAUACCGCAUACGCUCCUGUGCAGAGAGGUACAGGAGGAAAGGUUUACUGCUGAGGAAUGAGCCUGCGUCCGAUUAGCUAGUUGGUGGGGUAAAGGCUCACCAAGGCGACGAUCGGUAGCUGGUCUGAGAGGACGAUCAGCCACACUGGAACUGAGACACGGUCCAGACUCCUACGGGAGGCAGCAGUGGGGAAUUUUCCGCAAUGGGCGAAAGCCUGACGGAGCGACGCCGCGUGGGUGAUGAAGUUUUUCGGAACGUAAAACCCUUUCGCCAGGGACGAAGCGAGUGACGGUACCUGGAGAAGAAGCAUCGGCUAACUACGUGCCAGCAGCCGCGGUAAU